AGCGAACGCUGGCGGCGGGCCUAACACAUGCAAGUCGAACGAACUCUUCGGAGUUAGUGGCGGACGGGUGAGUAACACGUGGGAACGUGCCUUUAGGUUCGGAAUAACUCAGGGAAACUUGUGCUAAUACCGAAUGUGCCCUUCGGGGGAAAGAUUUAUCGCCUUUAGAGCGGCCCGCGUCUGAUUAGCUAGUUGGUGAGGUAAAGGCUCACCAAGGCGACGAUCAGUAGCUGGUCUGAGAGGAUGAUCAGCCACAUUGGGACUGAGACACGGCCCAAACUCCUUCGGGAGGCAGCAGUGGGGAAUCUUGCGCAAUGGGCGAAAGCCUGACGCAGCCAUGCCGCGUGAAUGAUGAAGGUCUUAGGAUUGUAAAAUUCUUUCACCGGGGACGAUAAUGACGGUACCCGGAGAAGAAGCCCCGGCUAACUUCAUGCCAGCCGCCGCGGUGA
Molecule: ribosomal RNA, 449 nt
Filed under: uncultured bacterium
Lineage: Bacteria
Description: partial 16S ribosomal RNA
Rfam family: Bacterial small subunit ribosomal RNA
Source: RNAcentral